UACAGAGGGGGCAAGCGUUGUUCGGAAUUACUGGGCGUAAAGGGCGCGUAGGCGGCCUGUUAAGUCGAACGUGAAAUCCCUGGGCUCAACCCAGGAACUGCGUCCGAUACUGGCAGGCUUGAAUUCGGGAGAGGGAUGCGGAAUUCCAGGUGUAGCGGUGAAAUGCGUAGAUAUCUGGAGGAAUACCGAUGGCGAAGGCAGGUCUCUGGGCUGACACUGACGCUCAUGCACGAAAGCGUGGGGAGCAAACAGG
RNAcentral lists this ribosomal RNA (253 nucleotides) under uncultured bacterium. RNAcentral describes it as "partial 16S ribosomal RNA". It matches the Rfam family "Bacterial small subunit ribosomal RNA", at positions 524 to 776 of the family's 1533-position model. The record is from RNAcentral.